Molecule: ribosomal RNA, 1200 nt
Filed under: Triticum aestivum (bread wheat)
Lineage: Eukaryota; Viridiplantae; Streptophyta; Magnoliopsida; Poales; Poaceae
Description: partial small subunit ribosomal RNA
Source: RNAcentral
AUGAAUGAUAAUGCAUUACUUUUUUCAGGUUUAAACGUCAUUAUUGGACUUGCUAGUGGGGCGGGCCUCAUACUUUUGGUCCUCAUUGCAUACUAUAUUUCCUACAAAUUUAAGCUUCAAAGGGCACAAAUGUUGAAACGGAAGUAUUUCGAGCAAAACCGUGGGCAGUUGUUGCAACAGUUGGUAUCUCAAAGAGCUGAUAUUGCAGAGAGAAUGGUCAUAACCUUGGAAGAGUUGAAGAAGGCAACAAAUAAUUUUGAUAAAGCUCGUGAACUUGGUGGUGGUGGACAUGGUACGGUCUAUAAAGGGAUUUUGUCGGACCUCCACGUCGUAGCCAUCAAGAAACCAAAGAUGGUUGUUCAAAGGGAGAUUGAUGAGUUUAUUAAUGAGGUUGCUAUCCUAUCACAAAUCAACCAUAGGAAUGUAGUAAAACUAUAUGGCUGCUGCCUUGAAACAGAAGUCCCAUUGCUGGUCUAUGAGUUCAUAUCCAAUGGAACUCUUUAUGAUCAUCUUCAUGUUGAAGGACCAAGAUCAUUGUCAUGGGAUGAUAGGCUACGGAUAGCAACUGAAACUGCCAAAUCUCUUGCCCAUCUUCACUCAACGGCUUUAGUGCCAAUCAUCCAUAGAGAUAUCAAGCCUGCUAACAUACUUUUGGAUGAUACUCUAACAGCAAAGGUAGCAGACUUUGGCGCUUCAAGGUACAUUCCUUUGGACAAAUCAGGGCUCACAACAAUGGUGCAAGGUACACUAGGAUAUCUCGAUCCGAUGUACAUGCACACAUGGCGCCUCACGGAGAAAAGUGAUGUUUAUAGCUUUGGUGUUAUGCUUAUAGAGUUAAUGACCAGAAAGAAACCAUUUACCUAUAUGGCUUCCGAAGGCAAUGGUCUUGUGGCACAUUUUGCUACCUUAUUUGCAGAAGGGAAUUUGUCGGAGAUAUUAGAUCCACAAGUUAUGAGUGAAGGUGGCAACAGAAUUGAUGAAAUCGCUGCAAUUGCAGUAGCAUGUGUUAAGUUAAGAGGGGAGGAACGGCCAACCAUGAGACAAGUGGAGUUGAGACUGGAAGCUGCUCAAUCACCUGAGGAAUUUGAGGCAAAUGGUGAUAUUGUAGCAAAUUCUCCAUUAGCAUGCGGAGCGGGAUUGACUAGCAGGCAGUAUAGCAUGGAAGAAGAGUACGCGUUGUCUGCAAGAUAUCCACGGUAG